RNAcentral lists this long non-coding RNA (226 nucleotides) under Homo sapiens (human). RNAcentral describes it as "HSALNT0206373". The record is from RNAcentral. Lineage: Eukaryota; Metazoa; Chordata; Mammalia; Primates; Hominidae.
UAAGGCUACAAAUACUUGGGAUGCGAAUUAAGCAUUUAGUUGUGUAUUAAUUAAUUUUGCUCUAAUGUAAGUCCAUUUAAUUUGAUCCUUUGUUCUUGCUCUCGUCACAGAAUGAGAAACGCUCUGGGGAGGAAGAGAAACAAGUACCCCCCUUCUGCCCCAGACUUCAGUUAGGGAGCUCCAAACCUGAGCACACGCUGUCAGAGUAGCUGGAGAGGGGAAUAAA